UAUGAAGGUCAGGCUGAAGACCUUACCCGAUUAGCUGAGAGGUGGUGCAUGGCCGUCGUCAGUUCGUACUGUGAAGCAUCCUGUUAAGUCAGGCAACGAGCGAGACCCACGUCCACAGUUGCCAGCAUACCCUCCGGGGUGAUGGGUACACUGUGGAGACCGCCGCUGCUAAAGCGGAGGAAGGAGUGGGCAACGGUAGGUCAGUAUGCCCCGAAUCUCCCGGGCUACACGUGGGCUACAAUGGUUGGUACAAUGGGCAUCUACCCCGAAAGGGGAAGGAAAUCUCUUAAAGCCAAUCGUAGUUCGGAUUGAGGGCUGCAACUCGCCCUCAUGAAGCUGGAAUCCGUAGUAAUCGCGUUUCAACAGAACGCGGUGAAUACGUCCCUGCUCCUU
RNAcentral lists this ribosomal RNA (393 nucleotides) under uncultured Methanosaeta sp. Its description in RNAcentral is "bacterial SSU rRNA". It matches the Rfam family "Archaeal small subunit ribosomal RNA", at positions 946 to 1338 of the family's 1478-position model. The record is from RNAcentral. Lineage: Archaea; Methanobacteriati; Methanobacteriota; Methanomicrobia; Methanotrichales; Methanotrichaceae.